Ochlerotatus camptorhynchus is the source of this 216-nucleotide long non-coding RNA. RefSeq lists it as uncharacterized. NCBI's taxonomy places the organism in Eukaryota, Metazoa, Arthropoda, Insecta, Diptera, Culicidae. The record is from RefSeq and is a predicted model, not a curated record. The transcript has 2 exons.
GAUUAACAAUCAAGAAAAAUGAAUCUCAUAUCCGACGGGUGCCGUCUGUGUUUGGAUCCUUUUGCGGAGAGUUUCACCACUAUCGACAGCCCGGAGCUGAAGGACCAGAUGGAAAAAGUUUUCUGCUUUUUGAUUGAACCCAAACAAGGAUACUGCUCCGGUGUGUGUCAGAGCUGUUCAUAUGCCAUCUCCGAGUUCUACCAGUAUUCGGAAAAA